RNAcentral lists this small nuclear RNA (105 nucleotides) under Microtus ochrogaster (prairie vole). Lineage: Eukaryota; Metazoa; Chordata; Mammalia; Rodentia; Cricetidae. The record is from RNAcentral.
GUGCUGACUCUGACAGCACACGUACUGAAACUGGGAUACUGCAGAGAAGGCUAGUAUGGUCCUGGUAGGGAUAACACAUAACUUUAUGAAGUUUUCCAUAGUUUU